This is a long non-coding RNA of Arachis stenosperma, 1227 nucleotides long. RefSeq lists it as uncharacterized. Lineage: Eukaryota; Viridiplantae; Streptophyta; Magnoliopsida; Fabales; Fabaceae. The transcript is spliced from 3 exons. The record is from RefSeq and is a predicted model, not a curated record.
AAAACGGUAAUUUCGUAGAUUUGAAUUCCAUUUUAAACGGUUUGAAUUGAAUUCCAUAAAGUUCUGUGCGUUUCUUUCAUCUUUGCUUUCUUCAGCAAUCUCAAUUUGGUACUCUUUCUACACUGAUUCAAGCCCUUGAAUCAUGGGAUUUUGACAUUUUGUGGUGUAUAUGCUUGUAUCUGGGAAUAUGGUGUGAAGCUCCGUGAAGAAACAACCUUGUGAGUUGUGAUUCUAUAUAUAUACAUAAUCCGCGAGAACAAGUGACGAAUUACAUAGUUGAGGGUUGAAAUUGUUGGAGAUGAGCAUUUGAGAGAGAAUUCGGGGACAGCAAGAUUCUGAAGUGGUGGAGUCAUAAAAGACCAAGAGGUUUGUAUCACUUGGCUGGACUGAACAGUCGCUGGUUCUAGGUUGAUGAGCCUCUACUUAGUGCAUUCAUUGAGAGGUGAUGUCCUGAGACGCACACCUUCUACAUGCUGUUUGGAGAAUGCACCAUCACUCUGCAGGACCACUAGCCACCUCAUAUGUUUGCUGCCGAACCAAACAGUUCUCGAAUGGAACAAAAUCAACUGCCACCGUACGGUCUAAAUCAGCCGCAAAUGAAGGAGAUGCAACAUACGAAUGAGCUGGUGCAACCGCAGCCAUUGAACUAGAAGCACCGCCCAUGGCAGUCGAGUGAGGAAUCGGAGCUGAUGCCCCAAAACUGUCGACACUGACGUCCAACUUAGCGUACAGCUCGCGUUCUGACCUCUGGAAAACUCCUAUGACAAUGAAACAGAACCCAAAGAUCUUCAUCGGACGCUAUCACAAACAUAUUAUAUUUCACACCGGUUGACACAACUGUGAUAGGGAUCUUAUAAAAUAACUUCUUUACCCACUUGUUCCUAAACACUCAAAACUUUUGCAAUAUGCUGUUCUUUAGAUCUAACAAGGUAUUCGAUGAACUGAUAAAUACACUUAAGAGUUCUCUGUCAGUGAACUUUACGCCAUAUUUUUUGCUUCUAUGAAUUUUUCCAGAGCAAUGCGCUAGCGCUAGGAAACUCUCUUCCUCACUUGCCAUUGUAAAAAUGAUCCUCUUCUACACAACUGCUUUUACCGUGUAUAUAUAUAUUUUUUACUCCUCAUAAACAAUAGUAGGAGAAGAAAGGAUUAUGUAUGCAUGGCUACUAUUCAUAAAUCGUGGAAGGGGUACCACAAUUUAUGUAUUUUUUGCCUUGUUCAAAAAUCGUA